RNAcentral lists this long non-coding RNA (1437 nucleotides) under Phocoena sinus (vaquita). RNAcentral's name for it is "lncRNA (ENSPSNG00000014343.1)". Lineage: Eukaryota; Metazoa; Chordata; Mammalia; Artiodactyla; Phocoenidae. The record is from RNAcentral.
AAGGAAGAUGCAGUUUGCUUCAGCAUCAAGGUGGGUGCGGUUGAGCUGUGGGGUCACCACGGAGCCGUGUGUCCUACAGGCCUGUGCUCUGCGCAGGUUAACUGCACGAGAGAGGAAGUCCUCUACGCUUGGUUAAUGGCAGACAGUGUGGGCAGGGGCCGCACGCCUUAAGAAUUCACCUCUGCUGAGUUGAUAUCCUGUCUUGUCUACUGUAUUCUUGUGCUUCACCUGUAUUCAAUAGCUCUGUACUGCCUCCUCUCGAAACUGAUAAAACCUUAUAUAAGCCUCAGUUAACGAGCUUGCACCAUCUUGUAUAUGUACAGGAAACCCAUCAUGUCUCCUAAUGUGGUUACUCAUGUAUGAUAUCGUGUAAAAUUGAUUAAAAAAGGGAGAGCAGUUGAAUUCAUUGGGUUUUAUGUUUCCAUCAUCUAUUUUGUAUUCAGAAGCGUUUCUGAAAAUUUCUUUGACUUCUCAGAUAUUACUGAUGCUCUCCAAGAAUUCACAUCUGUCUUUUUCAUCUGAACAUCUAAGGGUAUUUGUGAAGUGCAGUACAGGAAGGAAUUAGAAUCAUCCAGCAGUUCCUGAAGAGAUGGUGAACGUUUACUCUUUUAAGCCGGUUCCCGUCUGACCCCUGUAUCUGGUAGCUGUCAUCAGCCCUAGUUCUGAGCGCAGAAGUUCUGAUCACGGUGGUCACGAAGCCUUUAUUAAUCUCAGCUGAGGGGAGUUUCUGUUAGCCAAGGAGCCCUUGUAUCGGAGGCAAGCUCACUCCACUCGCUGGUGGAAAGGCGCUUUCCCCAUAUUGAUUGCACUUCAUUUGGAAGGGAACACUUAAAAAUUGGAUUAGGGCUCAGUUUUCAUUCAGCCUGUUCAGUAUUAAAUUUAAUACUGUGACUUGCCUAGAACUGAAAAUAGAAUUCAACAUUUCUUGCCAACUUGGAAUUACCUGUGUCACCUGGACUCCUGUUAUAUUUGUGCCCACUCAACACUCUAAGUAGCUGGCUCUGCAGCUUUUCCCAGAGGAUGCAGAGCUAGUGAUGGUGUUUAGCUAGGCCUCCCUGCAGUGCUGCCUGGAAUAUGUGAAAUCAGGACGGAAGCUCCUUCUGGCUGUAAUGUGUCUUCUACCUAGAGAUUUAAGUAUUCAUUGAAAAGCUUUUGCUUCAGUCGUUUCAUUCCAGAAGAAUCCUACUCCAUCUUCUUAGGGUAUCAAAAUGCAGUACAUAGACUUUUAAAAAAAUUGAUCGAAGAGGCUGGAAAAUCUCUGGUUGUGGGGAUCCAGCAAACAUCUUUCACAUUUUGUGCUAAAAUGGAAAAAGCUCUCAGUUCCCAGUCACCGAACCUGCUGUAGACAGUGCACAUGAAAACCAUGGUAAUCUUACCUCUGUAAACUAGGAAUUCAGCAUAUUGCUGGCCAAAAACAUUAAAUUUUAUGCUCCUGUG